Molecule: ribosomal RNA, 491 nt
Filed under: uncultured bacterium
Lineage: Bacteria
Description: partial 16S ribosomal RNA
Rfam family: Bacterial small subunit ribosomal RNA
Source: RNAcentral
AGUGAACGCUGGCGGUAGGCCUAACGCAUGCAAGUCGAACGGCAGCACAGUAAGAGCUUGCUCUUACGGGUGGCGAGUGGCGGACGGGUGAGGAAUACAUCGGAAUCUACUUUUUCGUGGGGGAUAACGUAGGGAAACUUACGCUAAUACCGCAUACGACCUACGGGUGAAAGCAGGGGAUCUUCGGACCUUGCGCGAUUGAAUGAGCCGAUGUCGGAUUAGCUAGUUGGCGGGGUAAGGCCCACCAAGGCGACGAUCCGUAGCUGGUCUGAGAGGAUGAUCAGCCACACUGGAACUGAGACACGGUCCAGACUCCUACGGGAGGCAGCAGUGGGGAAUAUUGGACAAUGGGCGCAAGCCUGAUCCAGCCAUACCGCGUGGGUGAAGAAGGCCUUCGGGUUGUAAAGCCCUUUUGUUGGGAAAGAAAAGCAGCAGGUUAAUACCCCGCUGUUCUGACGGUACCCAAAGAAUAAGCACCGGCUAACUUCGUG